RNAcentral lists this ribosomal RNA (496 nucleotides) under uncultured bacterium. Its description in RNAcentral is "partial 16S ribosomal RNA". It matches the Rfam family "Bacterial small subunit ribosomal RNA", at positions 29 to 507 of the family's 1533-position model. The record is from RNAcentral.
AUGAACGCUGGCGGCGUGCCUAAUACAUGCAAGUCGAGCGAACGGACGAGAAGCUUGCUUCUCUGAUGUUAGCGGCGGACGGGUGAGUAACACGUGGAUAACCUACCUAUAAGACUGGGAUAACUUCGGGAAACCGGAGCUAAUACCGGAUAAUAUUUUGAACCGCAUGGUUCAAAAGUGAAAGACGGUCUUGCUGUCACAUAUAGAUGGAUCCGCGCUGCAUUAGCUAGUUGGUAAGGUAACGGCUUACCAAGGCAACGAUGCAUAGCCGACCUGAGAGGGUGAUCGGCCACACUGGAACUGAGACACGGUCCAGACUCCUACGGGAGGCAGCAGUAGGGAAUCUUCCGCAAUGGGCGAAAGCCUGACGGAGCAACGCCGCGUGAGUGAUGAAGGUCUUCGGAUCGUAAAACUCUGUUAUUAGGGAAGAACAUAUGUGUAAGUAACUGUGCACAUCUUGACGGUACCUAAUCAGAAAGCCACGGCUAACUACGUG